UCCCUUCUCAUCUUCUCCAGUCUAUUGCUGGUGACAUAGUUAUUCCUUUCCUCACCCAUCUCAUUAACAUCUCCUUGUCAACUGGCUGUUUCCCAAUGCCCUUAAAGAGGCAAGAGUGACCCCACUACUCAAAAAAACACCACUUGACUUGUCUGAGAACAACCUUCUUGAUCCCCAUUAGUCUGGCUUCAAGGCUGGCCACUCAACAGAAACUGCGCUCCUUUCUGUCACUGAGCAGCUUCACAUUGCUA
Long non-coding RNA from Etheostoma spectabile (orangethroat darter), 251 nucleotides. RefSeq lists it as uncharacterized. The record is from RefSeq and is a predicted model, not a curated record. The transcript is spliced from 2 exons. NCBI's taxonomy places the organism in Eukaryota, Metazoa, Chordata, Actinopteri, Perciformes, Percidae.